This 69-nucleotide transfer RNA is filed under the name Cerambycidae sp. 5 KM-2017. RNAcentral describes it as "tRNA-Met". It matches the Rfam family "tRNA". Rfam says of the family: Transfer RNA (tRNA) molecules are approximately 80 nucleotides in length. Their secondary structure includes four short double-helical elements and three loops (D, anti-codon, and T loops). Lineage: Eukaryota; Metazoa; Arthropoda; Insecta; Coleoptera; Cerambycidae. The record is from RNAcentral.
AAAAAGAUAAGCUAAUAAAGCUACUGGGUUCAUACCCCAUUUAUGAAAGUUCUAGUCUUUCUCUUUUUA